Molecule: ribosomal RNA, 406 nt
Filed under: uncultured bacterium
Lineage: Bacteria
Description: partial 16S ribosomal RNA
Rfam family: Bacterial small subunit ribosomal RNA
Source: RNAcentral
GACGAACGCUGGCGGCGUGCCUAAUACAUGCAAGUAGAACGCAGUUGCGAACGGGUGCGUAAUGCGUAGGUAACUGCCUGGUAGCGGGGGAUAACUAUUGGAAACGAUAGCUAAUACCGCAUACUCCCAGAUGUACCUGCGUUGUUUUAGCUAGUUGGUGGGGUAACGGCUCACAAAGGCAACGAUACAUAGCCGACCUGAGAGGGUGAUCGGCCAAACUGGGAAUGAGACAGGGACCAGACUCCUACGUGAGGCAGCAGUAGGGAAGCUUCGGCAAUGGACGGAAGUCUGACCGAGCAACGCCGCGUGAGUGAAGAAGGUUUUCGGAUCGUAAAGCUCUGUUGUAAGAGAAGCGGUAUCUUACCAGAAAGGGACGGCUAACUACGUGCCAGCAGCCGCGGUAAUU